GACUCGCGCGAGAUGUGCCUCCACCCUGCGGGCAGAGAGUCGGAGGGCUAGGCGUGCGGCUCCUAAGUGCACCGCACUCUUCGCUACGAGCGGUUGUGAAGUAUACGAAGACAGCCUCAACCAACUAUGUGCAGUUGGAGAAGGAAGAUGUAUUUUCAUAGCAUUUUCAGGAAACUACUGAAGAAAAUACUCCACUAAAAUGAAGAAUCAAACUAAGAAGGGGAAAGACAGGCUACAGAAAACAGGAAAGCAACAUGUAUGGCCUGGAUUUUACAAACAGCCUCUUUCCUGGCCUGUCGGACAGAGUCCUGACCCCCAGUUUCAACUGAAUCCAGUUCCAAAAGU
Long non-coding RNA from Artibeus jamaicensis (Jamaican fruit-eating bat), 345 nucleotides. RefSeq lists it as uncharacterized. NCBI's taxonomy places the organism in Eukaryota, Metazoa, Chordata, Mammalia, Chiroptera, Phyllostomidae. The record is from RefSeq and is a predicted model, not a curated record. The transcript has 4 exons.